CCUUCGAUAGCUCAGUUGGUAGAGCGGAGGACUGUAGAUCCUUAGGUCGCUGGUUCUAAUCCGGCUCGAAGGA
Molecule: transfer RNA, 73 nt
Filed under: Saccoglossus kowalevskii
Lineage: Eukaryota; Metazoa; Hemichordata; Enteropneusta; Harrimaniidae
Also listed under: 1 other name
Description: tRNA-Tyr
Rfam family: tRNA
About the family: Transfer RNA (tRNA) molecules are approximately 80 nucleotides in length. Their secondary structure includes four short double-helical elements and three loops (D, anti-codon, and T loops).
Source: RNAcentral